CUGGCUGAUAUAUUUACUUAGGUCUCAUUUUCUGUUAUUUUAGUGUGUCCUCCUGUUUAUACUAAAAAUAUAAUUGCCAUACAACAGGAUGCCAUUUUAUGCCAACAGCAGCCUCACACAUCUUGUGCUACUGCAUCUCUGGAUUGCAUCAUUUUCUCUUGUGCUUGAUCUAAUGUCACGUGGAUCUGUUCAUCAUGGUCCUAGGAGCAACGGACUACAUCACAUGUACAGGAGUUCUCAGAGGAUGUAGCUGUAAGUGAUGAGGGGCAGAUUAGAGAGAGAAGAUACAUCCUGUGCAGCCUUGCAACACUGGUGAGUGGAGGCCUUUGUUAAAAAGUGCAGGAAAGAUUAAGAAAAGACCAUACUCUGCAGAGUACAAAAUGUCACCUUCUCAAACACAGUCCCUCUUUCAUAUUCCUAAUUAUACUCCACUGGAUGUUUCAGCCAUUUCCACUCUUCC
Molecule: long non-coding RNA, 460 nt
Filed under: Fukomys damarensis (Damara mole-rat)
Lineage: Eukaryota; Metazoa; Chordata; Mammalia; Rodentia; Bathyergidae
Description: lncRNA (ENSFDAG00000022371.1)
Source: RNAcentral